GUUGAAGCGGCAGCGGCGAGCAUGGAGGUUGCAGUUACACGCUGCGAAGACAGGAGGGACGUUUUUCAGAGAGGUGCUGCACCUUCAGAGUCGGCUGCGACUCCAACCUCUGGAAACGAGGAGCUGCUGCGGCAGCUGGGAGUUCAGCGACAUGCGAACUAACCUGCCUCUCUGUCUCCACGACGUUCCUCUGGUGAUCAACGGUGAGAAUGUUGUUGUGCUAACAUGUGACCACAUUACCGCAGCGACACACACAAUGGCAUUUAAAGGUGACCCAAUAAUGUUUUCCUGAACAGUUUAGGAUCUCUGUAUGGCCUAUUCAAAACAUGUUCAUCACUGUUUUUUGCAUAAAAUCAUUCUUAGAUAAUGA
Molecule: long non-coding RNA, 370 nt
Organism: Poecilia latipinna (sailfin molly)
Lineage: Eukaryota; Metazoa; Chordata; Actinopteri; Cyprinodontiformes; Poeciliidae
Exons: 2
Source: RefSeq, a predicted model, not a curated record